UCAAGUAAUUAAGUGCAUGUGGUGGAUGCCUUGGCAGUCAGAGGCGAUGAAAGACGUGAUAGCCUGCGAAAAGCUCCGGGGAGGCGGCAAAUAUCCUUUGAUCCGGAGAUGUCUGAAUGGGGGAACCCACCUACUUUAAGGUAGGUAUUGCAACAUGAAUACAUAGUGUUGCAAGGCGAACGAGGGGAAGUGAAACAUCUCAGUACCCUUAGGAAAAGAAAUCAAUUGAGAUUCCCUCAGUAGCGGCGAGCGAACGGGGAUCAGCCCAUUAAGUUAUGUGUGUUUUAGUGGAACGCUCUGGGAAGUGCGAACGUAGAGGGUGAUAUUCCCGUACACGAAAGGGCACACAUAAUGAUGACGAGUAGGGCGAGGCACGUGAAACCUUGUCUGAAUAUGGGGGGACCAUCCUCCAAGGCUAAAUACUCCUGACUGACCGAUAGUGAACCAGUACCGUGAGGGAAAGGCGAAAAGAACCCCUGUGAGGGGAGGAAUAGAUCCUGAAACCGCAUGCAUACAAGCAGUGGGAGCACCUUCGUGGUGUGACUGCGUACCUUUGUAUAAUGGGUCAGCGACUUAUAUUCAGUAGCGAGGUUAACCGUAUAGGGAGCCGUAGAAAAUCGAGUCUUAAUAGGGCGUUUAGUUGCUGGGUAUAGACCCGAAACCAGGCGAUCUAUCCAUGAGCAGGUUGAAGGUUGGGUAACACUAACUGGAGGACCGAACCCACUGUCGUUGAAAAGCCAGGGGAUGACUUGUGGAUAGGGGUGAAAGGCUAAUCAAGCCUGGUGAUAGCUGGUUCUCCCCGAAAGCUAUUUAGGUAGCGCCUCGGACGAAUACCAUAGGGGGUAGAGCACUGUUUCGGCUAGGGGGUCAUCCCGACUUACCAAACCGAUGCAAACUCCGAAUACCUAUGAGUACUAUCCGGGAGACAGACUGCGGGUGCUAACGUCCGUAGUCAAGAGGAAAACAAUCCAGACCGCCAGCUAAGGCCCCAAAAUCAUAGUUAAGUGGGAAACGAUGUGGGAAGGCAUAGACAGCUAGGAGGUUGGCUUAGAAGCAGCCACCCUUUAAAGAAAGCGUAAUAGCUCACUAGUCGAGUCGGCCUGCGCGGAAGAUGUAACGGGGCUAAAACUAUGUGCCGAAGCUGCGGAUGUAUACUUUGUAUACGUGGUAGGGGAGCGUUCUGUAAGCCGAUGAAGGUGUGUUGAGAAGCAUGCUGGAGGUAUCAGAAGUGCGAAUGCUGACGUGAGUAACGACAAAACGGGUGAAAAACCCGUUCGCCGAAAGACCAAGGGUUCCAGUCCAACGUUAAUCGGGGCUGGGUGAGUCGACCCCUAAGGCGAGGCCGAAAGGCGUAGUCGAUGGGAAAAUGGUUAAUAUUCCAUUACUUCUGUGUAAUGCGAUGAGAGGACGGAGAAGGCUAAAUCAGCCUGGCGUUGGUUGUCCAGGUGAAAGGAUGUAGGCAUGUAUCUUAGGCAAAUCCGGGGUACUCUAUGCUGAGAUCUGAUAGCAAGCUGUACUUGUACAGCGAAGUGGUUGAUGCCAUGCUUCCAGGAAAAGUCUCUAAGCUUCAGUUACACAGGAAUCGUACCCGAAACCGACACAGGUGGUCAGGUCGAGUAGACCAAGGCGCUUGAGAGAACUCUGCUGAAGGAACUAGGCAAAAUGGUACCGUAACUUCGGGAGAAGGUACGCUGUUGUUGGUGAUGGAACUCGCUUCCUGAGCUGACGACAGCCGCAGAAACCAGGCCGCUGCAACUGUUUAUUAAAACAUAGCACUCUGCAAACACGAAAGUGGACGUAUAGGGUGUGAUGCCUGCCCGGUGCUGGAAGGUUAAUUGAUGGGGUUAGCGUAAGCGAAGCUCUUGAUCGAAGCCCCAGUAAACGGCGGCCGUAACUAUAACGGUCCUAAGGUAGCGAAAUUCCUUGUCGGGUAAGUUCCGACCUGCACGAAUGGCAUAAUGAUGGCGGCGCUGUCUCCAGCAGAGGCUCAGUGAAAUCGAAAUCGCUGUGAAGAUGCAGUGUACCCGCGGCUGACGGAAAGACCCCGUGAACCUUUACUGCAGCUUGACACUGAACUUUGACCUUACUUGUGGAUAGGUGGAGGCUUUGAAGCUGGAACGCUAGUUCCAGUGGAGCCGUCCUUGAAAUACCACCCUGGUAAUGUUGAGGUUCUAACUCUGUCCCGUGAUCCGGGACGAGGACCGUGUCUGGUGGGUAGUUUGACUGGGGCGGUCUCCUCUAAAGAGUAACGGAGGAGUACGAAGGUGCGCUCAGCGUGGUCGGAAAUCACGCGUAGAGUAUAAAGGCAAAAGCGCGCUUAACUGCGAGACCCACAAGUCGAGCAGGUACGAAAGGUCUUAGUGAUCCGGUGGUUCUGUAUGGAAGGGCCAUCGCUCAACGGAUAAAAGGUACUCUGGGGAUAACAGGCUGAUACCGCCCAAGAGUUCAUAUCGACGGCGGUGUUUGGCACCUCGAUGUCGGCUCAUCUCAUCCUGGGGCUGAAGCAGGUCCCAAGGGUAUGGCUGUUCGCCAUUUAAAGAGGUACGCGAGCUGGGUUUAGAACGUCGUGAGACAGUUCGGUCCCUAUCUACCGUGGGCGCUGGAAAUUUGAGAGGAUCUGCUCCUAGUACGAGAGGACCAGAGUGGACGAACCUCUGGUGUACCGGUUGUGACGCCAGUCGCAUCGCCGGGUAGCUAUGUUCGGAAGGAUAACCGCUGAAAGCAUCUAAGCGGGAAGCCUACCUCAAGAUAAGAUUUCCUAGGACUUUAUGUCCUCUAAAGAGCCGUUCGAGACUAGGACGUUGAUAGGUUGGAUGUGGAAGCAUAGUGAUAUGUGAAGCUGACCAAUACUAAUUGCUCGUGAGGCUUGACUA
RNAcentral lists this ribosomal RNA (2873 nucleotides) under Acinetobacter baumannii. RNAcentral's name for it is "bacterial LSU rRNA". It matches the Rfam family "Bacterial large subunit ribosomal RNA". The record is from RNAcentral. Lineage: Bacteria; Pseudomonadati; Pseudomonadota; Gammaproteobacteria; Moraxellales; Moraxellaceae.